Long non-coding RNA from Panicum virgatum (switchgrass), 689 nucleotides. RefSeq lists it as uncharacterized. The record is from RefSeq and is a predicted model, not a curated record. Lineage: Eukaryota; Viridiplantae; Streptophyta; Magnoliopsida; Poales; Poaceae. The transcript is spliced from 2 exons.
AAGUUAGUUCAGAGCUAUUAGUAUGCAUGGCUUCUCUUAAUCCAAGGAAUAAUUUCUCUAAUUUUGAUGUGGAUAAACUCGUGAGACUUGCUGAAAUUUAUGCUGAAGAUUUCAAUGUUGCGGAUCUUUUAUUGUUACCGGGCCAACUUAAGGACUUUAUCAACCGUGCUAGGAGAACUCAAUAUUUUAGUGGAUGUAAAGAACUUUCAAAAGUUGCUGAAAUUAUGGUUACGAAGACAAUGCACACAUCUUACCCAUUGGUUUAUCGGCUCAUUGAGCUAACUUUGAUACUUCCGAUGGCCACGGCUUCAGUUGAGAGGGUGUUUUCAGCUAUGUCCCUUAUAAAGACAGACUUGCGUAACAAAAUGGGGGAUGAAUGGUUCAAUGACUUGAUGAUAUGCUACAUUGAGAAGCAGAUAUUUAGAAGCAUUGGUAAUGAAAAAAUCAUGCAACAUUUUGAAGAGAUGAAAAAACGCCGUAUGUUGUUGCCUAAACAGAAUUUAGUGAUUGCUCCUCAUGAAGAAUAAUGGGUAUCAAGUAGGUGUUUGGUGUGGAGAAAUUGUCGAUUUGUCUUUGGCUACUUUUUCAACAUGUAAUUUGUAUUAUUCCUCUCUGUUUUUAUAUAUGCUACUUUGAACUAUGAUGCUGCUCUAUUAUGAGAAUUGAGAUAAUAUAAUUGUUGGUUGCGU